Molecule: ribosomal RNA, 428 nt
Filed under: uncultured prokaryote
Description: bacterial SSU rRNA
Rfam family: Bacterial small subunit ribosomal RNA
Source: RNAcentral
UAGGGAAUCUUCCGCAAUGGACGAAAGUCUGACGGAGCAACGCCGCGUGAGUGAUGAAGGUUUUCGGAUUGUAAAGCUCUGUUGUUAGGGAAGAACAAGUACCGUUCGAAUAGGGCGGUACCUUGACGGUACCUAACCAGAAAGCCACGGCUAACUACGUGCCAGCAGCCGCGGUAAUACGUAGGUGGCAAGCGUUGUCCGGAAUUAUUGGGCGUAAAGGGCUGCCAGGCGGUUUCGUAAGUCUGCUGUGAAAGCCCCCGGCUCAACCGGGGAGGGUCAUUGGAAACUGGGGAACUUGAGUGCAGAAGAGGAGAGUGGAAUUCCACGUGUAGCGGUGAAAUGCGUAGAGAUGUGGAGGAACACCAGUGGCGAAGGCGACUCUCUGGUCUGUAACUGACGCUGAGGAGCGAAAGCGUGGGGAGCGAACA